Molecule: unclassified non-coding RNA, 3750 nt
Filed under: Centruroides sculpturatus (bark scorpion)
Lineage: Eukaryota; Metazoa; Arthropoda; Arachnida; Scorpiones; Buthidae
Description: dDB1- and CUL4-associated factor 10-like, transcript variant X3
Source: RNAcentral
CAGUGUAGCACAUCUGAAUAUUAAUCAACCUAUGCCAUGAAUAAAACUGGAUUUAAAUUGUGGAGCAAAUUUUUGCAACAUAGAGAAGAAGGAGGAAAAAAAACUGUUGGUUAUAUUAAUCAUUUGAACAAGAAACUUUAUUUUUCUAUUGCAAAUGUUGGUUUAUGGGACCCAAUUGAUUCAACAAAAUGUGCACAUCAUGGUGGUGUUUUUAAUUUAGAAUUUUCACCUGAAGGGUCAUUAUUAGUAGCAGCUACAGAAAGAAAAAGUAUAUUAAUAUUUGACCCUCUUAAUCACAAAUUAGUGAAUUAUGUGAAUGAAGCACAUAAUGAUUGUGUUAAUUAUGCCAGGUUUUUAGAUUCAAGGAUGUUUGCUACGUGUUCAGAUGAUACCACUGUUGCUCUUUGGGAUAUUCGUUACUUGAAACAUAAGAUACGCACAUUAAAAGGACAUUCUAACUGGGUUAAAAAUAUAGAAUUUGCUAGUAAUGUUGGUCUUUUAGUAACAUCAGGAUUUGAUGGCAGUAUUUAUACAUGGGAUAUUAAUAGAUAUUCUGAAGAAGAUACACAGUUUCAACGGGUGUUUCACACAAAUGGAUUGAUGAGAAUGAGACUUACUCCAGAUAAUUCUAAAAUGGUUAUAUGUACUACUGGAGGUUAUUUAAUGGUCAUCCAUAAUUUGGAUCUAAAUAAUUUAGCUGAGGAUCUCAUGGGAUUUAAGCCAAACAUGUACAGAUUAAUGCAGAUGGGAAAUACACCUUUUCCAAUUGGUUAUUCAUAUAAUCAUUUAUUUACUGCUCAGCGUAAUCGAAUUGAACUUAUAUCAGAUUUUCCUGAAGGAAAUGAUGCUGAAAUUAUCUCUUCAUUACAAGUUCAUCCAUAUGGAUGGUGUGUAUUAUCUCGUAACACAAGCAGUGAUGAAAAUACUGAGUGGACUUGUAUUCAUGACAUUCAAGAAGUAGAGAAACCUUACAGUCAAGUGAGUGAUGAUUCCCAGCUAACAACUUUGAUUGGUGUUUCUCGGAAUGAAAAUGAAACAGUUAAUGAAUCAAGUGUAAAUAAUUCUGAAAAUUUUAAUUCUGUUGAAAGUAACAGCCUGGAAAUUUCUCGGGAAAUUUCUGGAUCUCAGUCACUUCGAGAAAGACCAGUUGUGCACAUUAGACUCAAUUAUGGUUCUCAGUCUCUCAGACACCAAGAAAUAAAUCGUUCUGAUACUCAGGGCAAUAGAAAUACAACAACAGAGAGUUACCGUUUUGGUAAUAUCGAACUGCGUAUUUCACAACGAAGAAUUACACAGUCAGUGCCAGCAGGAACUCAAAAUUCUGUGAAUUCUCAGGAAGGAACAUCUGGAGCAUCUCAAGCUUCUCCCACUAUUCAUACUAGAUCACAAAAUUCUGAUGAUAGUAAUAGCAGUGAAGAAGCAGAUAAUAGUUCUACUCAUAUUGUUCCUUCAGAACGUCCAGCAUUUUUUAUUAGGACAGGAUCAGAGCGUGGUGCUCAUACAUUUUUGUUGUUAGGUCCAAAUAGAUCUCAGGAUCAAUCAAAUCACACAUCUCAUAAGAUUUACAGAAAUACUCCUCGACUAACUCAUUAUAUUUCAGAACCUAACGUCGGUAGAGGUUUUAUCAAAGAACUCUGUUUUAGUACAGACGGUAGAUUGAUUUGUUCACCAUAUGGCUACGGAGUUAGAUUAUUAACAUUUCAUCCCUCUUGUAGUGAAUUGUGUGACAGUGUUCCUAAAUCCGUUUCUCCUCUUCAUGAAUUAAGGUCUGACUCUAGUCAUUCAAAUUAUGUUGUCAGCACCAAGUUUUCUCCCACUCAUUGCCUGUUUGUAUCUGGUUGUUUAAGUGGUAAAAUAUGUUUCCAUCAACCUGUUAUAUAGCAAAUUAAUUAGAAUUAUAAAAUUACAAUGCAUUUAUCAGAUACAUUGUUUUUAUAUUAUUAAUGUAUAUUAGAAUCUUCCAUUUUCAGAAUCUCAUUUCAGUUUUUGAGAUUAAUUUGUUUGUGACGAAGCCAAUAAGUACUUUUGAGUGUAAUAUAAACUCUUAAGCAUAUGUUUUUCUGUUGUUUCCAAAAAUUUUGGAAAAAAAAAAUUCCAUAAAUUUUGAUUGAUUGGUGAAAUGAAAAUAUUGGUAUGACACAAGAAUUACAAUUUUAAUAACUUGAAACAUCGUUUAUAAUUUUAAUAAUCUUAAAAAUAUCUUGUUUUUAGAAUUGCAGAAAGAAUCUGUAUCUAAUUCACCUUAUUGCACAUUUUAUGAAAAAUCAAUUGCCUUCCUUACAUCUGUAUUUUGUGAAAUUCUUGUAAAUAAAACUUUAGGAUAAAAUCUUAUCUAUGAUAAUCUAGUCUAAAUUAUUAAGUGGCUAUAAUUAUCAUAAGCCAUAUUUAAUAUUUUUUGAAUUUAUAUUUUAAUUGCUUUACUUAAAAAAGAAAAAAAUUCUUAUGAAGAAUAAAAUAUUAAGAUUGCUUCAUAAUUUUAUUGUAUGUAAGAGAAGAAGCAUCAAAUAAGUAAAACUACUUUAAAAACCAAUGAGGUUUGAAGUUUGUUUAUUGUAUUUUGUUCUACACACAAUGAGGUUAUAUAAUAAUAAGAAAUUUUGUGCAAAUUGAAAUUUUAAGGAUUUUUAAGGCAAGUUUUCUUAUUUGGUGUAAAAGGAAUUAAUGUAAUUUAAGAAUGUUCAUAAAAUCUUAUUAAAACUUUUAUUCUAUGAAUAUAUUUUGCAUAAUUUUUUAAAAUUAUACACAAAUGUUUACAUUAUGCCAUUUCUAUCAUUUCUUAAGGGAUGAUACAGGGUGGCCUUUAUCCAGGAGGCCCAAGUUUGAUUCCUGGCUAGAAACUUUUAUGCUGGUCAGAUGGCAAGGUGGUUAAGGUGUCAGUCUACCACCGUGGGGAUUGGAAUUGAAUUCAGAUAAACACCAGGAAUUUUUUGCAAUGAUCUAUCCAGGAUAUGCUGUUGACCCUCAUACCCAGCUAUCUCAUUGUGGACCUGAUUAAAUAUAUGAUGAGCCUGAAAGAAGCUCUCUUUAUGCACAUAAGGCAGAAAGAGUAAAAAAACCAUCUGGCCUAAAUAAGAUCUUUAACAAGUAUAAUACAUGUACUUUUUACAACUGAACAGUGACAUACAAGGUGUGAUCAAAAAAUUUCUUGAAUUAUUUUGUUUUUACAAAAUGAAAAGUGUUAGCAAGUAAAUUUUGAACCCUAGCAAUAAUCUAUCCAUUAGGAUAUUUGUGUACCAGAUACAGUCUCGGUGACUUGCAUGCAGUGACAGAGAAGAAGGGAGACUAUUUAUGAUGCCAGUGUUGCACUUCAAAAUGUCAGACCUACAGGAUCAGCAUGUGGCAAUCAAAUUUUGUUAAAUUAGAGAAAAUGGUCACAGAGGUCCACAAAUUUUUGAAAGAGGCCACAAAAAUAGCAAUCCAAAUCAAGAAGCUGAAAACUGUUGAAGUGUAAAAAUUUCAAAGACGUGGAAGUCAUAUAAGAAAAUGUGAGGACUUUAAAGACCAUUUCAAAAUUUGAGUUCUAGAACAGUUUCUAGCAGUUCCAGAAACACUGCAAAAAGUAUUAUAUCUCAAGGAGACUACUUUGAAGGACACCCAUACUAAAAUGAAGGUAAGUGCUUUCGUUUAUUUAAAAAACAUAAUUCUUGGAACUUAUUGAUUACAUCUUGUACAUCAAUUAGCAUUUGAAGCUAUCUUUAUUUCAUUGGUUUAUCUUCACUUCAAUUUUAUUUAAAGUUUAUCAUCAGACUU